This is a long non-coding RNA of Zophobas morio, 982 nucleotides long. RefSeq lists it as uncharacterized. The transcript is spliced from 2 exons. Lineage: Eukaryota; Metazoa; Arthropoda; Insecta; Coleoptera; Tenebrionidae. The record is from RefSeq and is a predicted model, not a curated record.
ACUAGAUGGUUUACGUUGUUGACAGCAUUAUGUUAUUAGUGUUUGUUAGUAGUUCUUGCUUAUUAAAAAAACCGUUUAAACUUGACGUUAUUCACACUAUUCGCGACCUCAGGCUGAUGAUAAUCACAAGAUUGCGAAAAAACGUACUAUUUAUUGAAUUGUAUAACAAGAAAAAAGAAACUAAACAUCUGGAGUUCGCGAACGUGAAAUUUCCCUGUACAUCUUUGAAUGCAAGAGAUGAAUUCUUGUUUUGAACAUUCAUCGACGCAGUCGAAGUAGAAGGUCCAUGAACGUCUCCGGCAUUUAAGUUUUCAACCGAUGGCUCCCAAGUACACUUUGAUGUGGACGGUAGAGGGUUGUCAAGGGAUGAUCUUGAAGAAGACCCAGUGGUUAACUGCUCAGCUAUAGCAAUUUUGUCGCGGAGGGACUGUUCAAUAUAGCCUUCUGCUACAGUGGAUGAUUUCCAUCCCCCAAUACGUUUAAUUCCCAGAAAAUCAACACCUUUUGCCGCCAACAAUGUUGCACUGCUUCUUCUGAAUGAGUGGCCUGUAUAACUUUGCGGGUUGGGUAGUCGAAGGAAUUCAGCAAUUUUCCGAGGCAUAGUGCCAAACGUAUUCAUUCCCACUGGUUGUCGCGAGCAUUUGUUAUUACCGUAAAAUAAGAAAAAACGUUGAUGUGGAGUAUUUGGUGGUCUUAAUUCGUAAUACUUGCGAAUUACCAACAGCCAUUGCUCAUUGUUUAUAACAAAGGUGCGAUUAGUUUUAUUUUUUGUGUUGCAUAAUGUCACAACAAUUUGAUGCGGCAUGAACGUAACAUUAUCUGUCAGAAGAUUUGUAAGUUCCAUCCGUCUGCAAGCUCCAGAUAUUGCAAUGAUCAGAGCAGUCUACAACAUAAUACUAAUUUUAGAUCUUUGUUUAAAAAUUUUAUGUCUGUAUUGUAGUAAAUUACUGUAUGUAUAAAUAAAGUUAAAAUUACGUUUGUA